CAUAUAGAAAAACAUGCAAUAUAUGUCAACUUCAUGCAACUUCAACUUUUUUUGCCUCAUCAGUGCCGAUAUCAUUAGUACCGCACAGGCACGCUAACCUUAUGUGCGAAUAUUCUCGCACAGGCGUUCUCAUUUUUCUUGCACAAUUUCUUCUUUACUCAUUGAAAACGUAGACCUGCGAGGCAGACCAAAACGAAACAACAAUGAACAAACGCGCCACGGGGGAUCGAAGAUUCGCUCGGGAUAGACUUUGACAACGCGGUCGCCAGUAUCCUGUGUGCCAGUCGGUGGGCCACACAGAUCAGAUAAAAGGAUACGUUUGAGGAACCGACUAACUCGAUCGACUAACUUCACUCGACAAAGAUCGAGAUGCAGCACUGUGCACGACUGUUGGGAAGUUGACCUAGCGUACGUGAGCAAUGAUGUAACUGAUAACAAGAUAUCGCGCUGCUGAAGCUCUGCAAAGAUAACUAUGAUUCAUACAAGACUAAAUGUUAACUUCGAAAUUUUUGCAACAAUAAAUGUGUGUACUGCUGUCAUCAUUUAAUAAAACAAUUUCU
This is a long non-coding RNA of Wasmannia auropunctata (little fire ant), 560 nucleotides long. RefSeq lists it as uncharacterized. The record is from RefSeq and is a predicted model, not a curated record. The transcript has 3 exons. Lineage: Eukaryota; Metazoa; Arthropoda; Insecta; Hymenoptera; Formicidae.